Molecule: long non-coding RNA, 456 nt
Organism: Gordionus sp. m RMFG-2023
Lineage: Eukaryota; Metazoa; Nematomorpha; Gordioida; Chordodea; Parachordodidae
Exons: 3
Source: RefSeq, a predicted model, not a curated record
AGAAAUACCAGACAUACCAUUACCACUCCAUCUCCAUGGGAAAACCAAUGAUGAGUUAGCUACAAAAUCAUCAAAUGAUGAAACAUUAUGUGUUACAAAAGCAUGUGAGCUAUCAGUUGAUUUGGCUGGAAAAUCAUCAAAUGAUGAAACACCACACCGUUCUCAAAAAGAUGUUUCACUUUACUUAAAUUUUCAUUUUAAAAAUGAUAAUGAAAAAUUGUUAGCUGUUGAAAAUAUUUGGAUACCUGACAAAUGUUAUAAAUUUCCAUUGCCCUUGGGCAAAAGAAAUUUAACCUUUCAAGCAUCCUGGCUUAACAAAUAUAAGUGGCUUGCUUACUCAGCCGAUGAAAAGGGCGCAUUUUGUAAAGUUUGCGUCAUAUUUUCCCCAAGAUAUGCUGGAAAUGGGUUACAAAAACUCAAAACAUUGGUAAGUCAGGUGUACAUAAGAUGGAAAGA